This 1116-nucleotide ribosomal RNA is filed under the name Triticum aestivum (bread wheat). Its description in RNAcentral is "partial small subunit ribosomal RNA". The record is from RNAcentral. Lineage: Eukaryota; Viridiplantae; Streptophyta; Magnoliopsida; Poales; Poaceae.
AUGAGGGCGUCCCUCAUAAUUUGGGAUGAGGCCUCCAUGACAAAGCGCCAGGCAGUCGAGGCCCUGGACAAUAGCAUGAGGGACAUCAUGGGUCAACCUGACCUGCCGUUUGGUGGAAAGACGGUUGUGUUUGGGGGAGACUUUAGACAAGUGCUUCCUGUUGUUCGUAAGGGAACAAGGUCACAGAUAACUGAUGCGACCCUACGUAAGUCUUAUCUUUGGAAUAGUAUGAGACAACUAAGACUGGUCCGUAAUAUGAGGGCUCAGGUUGAUCCAUGGUUUGCUGAUUAUCUUCUGCGUGUUGGGAAUGGCACCGAAGAUACGGUGGAUGAUGGUUACAUACGACUUCCAGAUGAGAUUUGCAUACCAAACACCGGUGAUGACGCCUCUGAUAUUGACAAGCUUAUUGAAAGUGUGUUCCUGAUGCUGCAAGAUGAAAACAUCUCAGAUCCAAACUACAUAACAUCUCGAGCAAUUUUGUCAACUCGGAAUGAGUACAUUGACAAGAUCAACAUGAGGAUGAUUGAGAGAUUUCCUGGGGAGGAGAUGGUAUACCACAGUUUUGAUCGGGCUGAGGAUGAUCCACACAACUACUAUCCUGCAGAAUUCUUAAAUUCAUUAACACCUAAUGGGCUACCUCCCCACAUCCUAAAGUUGAAGAUUAAUUGCCCUAUUAUAUUGUUACGGAACAUUGACCCAGCGAAUGGGUUGUGCAAUGGGACUAGGUUGGUUGUCCGGGGGUUCAUGAGGAAUGCAAUUGAUGCUGAGAUUGUGCUGGGCCAGCAUGCUGGUAAGAGGGUGUUCCUUCCUCGAAUUCCUCUCUGCCCGUCAGACGACGAGAUGUUUCCAUUUAGGUUCAAGAGGAAGCAAUUCCCUAUUAGACUUAGCUUUGCUAUGACCAUUAACAAGGCACAAGGACAAACUAUACCAAAUGUUGGUGUAUACCUCCCUGAACCUGUAUUUUCACAUGGCCAACUCUAUGUUGCUCUUUCUAGAGCUACGUCUAGAAGUAAUCUGAAGAUUCUUACUAUCCCGGGUAAGGAAGAGGAAGGCCGGUCCAACUCCAUUGCAAAAUUUACAAAGAACAUAGUCUACAAAGAAGUUCUCAAUGUGUAG